Molecule: ribosomal RNA, 460 nt
Filed under: uncultured bacterium
Lineage: Bacteria
Description: bacterial SSU rRNA
Rfam family: Bacterial small subunit ribosomal RNA
Source: RNAcentral
AACGAACGCUGGCGGCAUGCCUAACACAUGCAAGUCGAGCGCUCCCAGCAAUGGGGGAGCGGCGGACGGGUGAGUAACGCGUAGGAACGUAUCCUGAGGUGGGGGAUAACCCUGGGAAACUAGGGCUAAUACCGCAUGAUGGCGAGAGCCCAAAGAUUUAUCGCCUUGGGAGCGGCCUGCGUCUGAUUAGCUUGUUGGUGGGGUAACGGCCUACCAAGGCGAUGAUCAGUAGCUGGUCUGAGAGGAUGAUCAGCCACACUGGGACUGAGACACGGCCCAGACUCCUACGGGAGGCAGCAGUAGGGAAUAUUGGACAAUGGGGGCAACCCUGAUCCAGCCAUGCCGCGUGAGUGAAGAAGGCCCUCGGGUUGUAAAGCUCUUUUGUCCGGAAAGAAAAGCAAUCGGUUAAUACCCGGUUGUCCUGACGGUACCGGAAGAAUAAGCACCGGCUAACUUCGUG